Molecule: long non-coding RNA, 603 nt
Organism: Bos taurus (domestic cattle)
Lineage: Eukaryota; Metazoa; Chordata; Mammalia; Artiodactyla; Bovidae
Source: Ensembl
GGUGCUUACCUGCUGAACCUCAGCCCUAACUACAAUCCCCUUCCUAGAAGGAGAGGCUCCUUCUUUACCACCAGGGCAGAGGGCCUGGAGCUAAAUUUAGCCCUGAAGAGAACACAGCCCGCUGAGAUGUGUUCGAGCCUCACGCAGCAAUGGGACUUGGAUACGCCUGAAACCCUGGCGCUGGGAUGGCCCCGGCUCGGCGCGGAUGCAGCAUGAAGGCCGUCGGAGAGCAAGCGUUGGAAGCCUCCUGAGAUCUGGAACCACAGCCUAGCCCCUGAGGAGAGGCGAUGCGGGAUAUCUCCAGCGGAAAAGACGGGGAGCCCAGUAGACAGGGCGAGAGAGCUCCGCUUUUCAGAGGGUUGGUGAGACUCCUUCCUGGCCUCAGAAGGGACCUGGCUUGGAGACCACCACCAAGGGCCUUCCAGCUCUAACCACACGCUCCAUGAAAAGCCUGCCAUGUGACAACAGUAUGCAAGAUGUUAGUUCCCUGACCAAGCAUCAAACCCGUGCCCCCUGCAGUGGAAGUCUGGAGUCUUAACCACUGGACCAACAGGGAAGCUCCCGUGCAGAUUCUUAAAACAUUUCUGGAGAAUGCAAAAGGAC